This 462-nucleotide ribosomal RNA is filed under the name Veillonellaceae bacterium oral taxon 132. RNAcentral describes it as "bacterial SSU rRNA". It matches the Rfam family "Bacterial small subunit ribosomal RNA", at positions 28 to 474 of the family's 1533-position model. Lineage: Bacteria; Bacillati; Bacillota; Negativicutes; Veillonellales; Veillonellaceae. The record is from RNAcentral.
GACGAACGCUGGCGGCGUGCUUAACACAUGCAAGUCGAACGGAGCUGUUUAUUUCGGUAGAUAGCUUAGUGGCAAACGGGUGAGUAACGCGUAGGCAACCUGCCCUUAGGAUGGGGACAACGGCCCGAAAGGACCGCUAAUACCGAAUGCACUCUAACUUCCGCAUGGAAGAAAGAGGAAAGAUGGUGCAAGCCAUCGCCGAAGGAAGGGCCUGCGUCUGAUUAGCCAGUUGGUGAGGUAACGGCUCACCAAAGCGACGAUCAGUAGCCGGUCUGAGAGGAUGAACGGCCACAAUGGGACUGAGACACGGCCCAUACUCCUACGGGAGGCAGCAGUGGGGAAUCUUCCGCAAUGGGCGAAAGCCUGACGGAGCAACGCCGCGUGAGUGAAGAAGGUCUUCGGAUCGUAAAGCUCUGUUGUUGGGGACGAAAGGGAAGGGGAGGAAAUGCCCUUUUUAAGACG